Molecule: ribosomal RNA, 642 nt
Filed under: Triticum aestivum (bread wheat)
Lineage: Eukaryota; Viridiplantae; Streptophyta; Magnoliopsida; Poales; Poaceae
Description: partial small subunit ribosomal RNA
Source: RNAcentral
AUGCUAGCGAUAUUACCCGCAGCCAUCGCAUUGCUGCUCAUGUACUUUGUCGACGUCGACAGUGCUCAUCGGCGGUACAACAAGAAGUUCCUUGAUGCCUUCGCUGUCAUGGCCGUGUCUGUUGCCGGGUACCUGAUGGUUGUCAUAAUCUUUGACCAAGUAUUCGUGAUAAGUUUACCUGGACAGAAUGUUUGCUUCAUGAUACUCCUGCUGUUGAUCAUGUCUCCAGCAGUUAUUGUUGUAAGAGCUCACAAGACGGAAUCGAAACAACGAGAAGAGCCAGCUCUAGCACUGCGCUUGUGGUAUCUGGUCAGGACAAUGUUGUCACACAAAGAAAACCUGAAUCUGGUGCAGGCCAUGUGUAAACUCGACUUCUGGCACGGUGAACAACUUCAGACAAAAGGGGAUCCUUUGGCUACACGAGCAGAGAGACGAGCACCCUGGUGUCGCUCUGGAGCAUCUGGAACUUCUCAGGGAGGUUCGGCGCAGCAUCUCCGAUCACUUCCUCCAGUUGCGAGGAGUGGGCAGGCCUUUCUUCAUAGGAGCGACGCUUCUAGUCAUGAAUGUAGGCGACGCCAUCAUCUCCUCCGGUUUCCAUGCGUCGGUCUACAUGGGCUCCGGGUUCCAGAGGCGCUUAUAUGA